Molecule: unclassified non-coding RNA, 430 nt
Filed under: uncultured Agaricus
Lineage: Eukaryota; Fungi; Basidiomycota; Agaricomycetes; Agaricales; Agaricaceae
Description: sequence contains ITS2
Rfam family: 5.8S ribosomal RNA (bases 1-154)
Source: RNAcentral
AACUUGCGGCAACGUGUCACUUGGCUCUCCUGUCGAUUAAGAACGCAGCGAAAUGCGAUAAGUAAUGUGAAUUGCAGAAUUCAGUGAAUCAUCGAAUCUUUGAACGCACCUUGCGCUCCUUGGUAUUCCGAGGAGCAUGCCUGUUUGAGUGUCAUUAAAUUCUCAACUCUCCUGUGCUGUUUUGCAGAGGGGAGCUUGGAUUGUGGAGGCUUGCUGGCCACUUGUUGGAGGUCAGCUCCUCUGAAAUGCAUUAGCGGAACCGUUUGCGAUCUGCCACAAGUGUGAUAAAUUAUCUGCACUGGCGAGGGGAUUGCUCUCUGUGUUGUUCGGCUUCUAAUCGUCUCAAUCUAACGAGACAACUUCCUGAAUGCUUGACCUCAAAUCAGGUAGGACUACCCGCUGAACUUAAGCAUAUCAAUAAGCGGAGGCU